This 254-nucleotide ribosomal RNA is filed under the name uncultured bacterium. RNAcentral's name for it is "partial 16S ribosomal RNA". It matches the Rfam family "Bacterial small subunit ribosomal RNA", at positions 524 to 776 of the family's 1533-position model. The record is from RNAcentral.
CACGUAGGGGGCGAGCGUUGUCCGGAUUUAUUGGGCGUAAAGAGCUCGUAGGCGGCUCAGUAAGUCGGGUGUGAAAACUCCAGGCUCAACCUGGAGACGCCACCUGAUACUGCUGUGGCUAGAGUCCGGUAGGGGAGCAUGGAAUUCCUGGUGUAGCGGUGAAAUGCGCAGAUAUCAGGAGGAACACCAAUGGCGAAGGCAGCACUCUGGGACGUGACUGACGCUGAGACGCGAAAGCGUGGGGAGCAAACAGG